UCUGCGGCACAGCCGGAGGCGCGGCCCGGAGCCCGGCCGUCCGUGCCGGCUGAGCGGGGGCUGCGGGGCAGCGGGCGCGGGUUGGGGCAGGCGGGGUGUGCCAUGCCCACGUCCCGGUCUAAUGAUGGCUAUUGACAGGACAAGGGGCAACCGGGACAAGCUGGAACAUCAGAGAUUCCAAAGAAACACACGGAAAAACUUCCUUCCUGUUGAGAAGCUCAGCCAAUGUAUCACGUUCUGGAUUGUACUCUGAUGGGGCUCCCCACUCGGUUUCGCAGACUGACCUUGUGUAACAGCUCAUGAAUCAGGGACUUAUCCUUACCAGUGUUUGUGCCAGAGCUGAAGGCCAUGAAGCUGAGGGGAUGAGAACAUCUCUGAGGAGGAAAGGCUGUGAGACCCGGGGCUGUUCAGGUUGGAGAAGAGAAGGCUGACAAAGGAUCUUAUCAAUGCCUAAAGGGUGGGUGUCAAGAGGAUUUGGCCAGGCUUUGAUCUGUAGAAGUGGCAGGACAAGGUAUAAUGGGCACAAGCUGGAACACAAGAAGUAUCACUGGCACAGGAGACUGCAGCUCUGGGUGCUUCACCCCUGCCCCUCUCUCUGCUCUGCUGUCAGGGGUCCUGUGCUGGAGCAGCUCUGCUCUGUACCUGCGAGGGGCUGGUGCUGCAUGUUUGAAGGCUGAGAGCUGCCUGGGGGCGGUGGCAGCGAUUCAUAUGGGUCUGGGCAGACCUCCCAAAGGCGCAGUGUGAGGGGAAGCGUUUCUGAGCCCAUCAGGUUCGACACGGAAUCGUUGCCCAGGGCUGGACAGAAACAGACACGGCAACUGAUAUAAUAAUGAACAUAUCUUUAAAUAACGUUCAAUUCCAUAGUCACAGGGUCCUGUGUCUCAGCUGGGGAGAAACUGGCCCAGGAACUCCAUCUAUUCAAAAAAUAUAUAUCUUACUCCCCACCUGUAUGGGCCCAUGUCUCACCUAUUGUCUCCUCUAAUCAAGGGAGGAGUCACACACUGUGCACACACCAGGGUAUCUCGUGGGUCUGCCUACGUAGCCACGGAGAGGACAUGAGGAAGUCGAAUGGAAAGCUCACCCUGACCCUAUAGGAACAGGUAGGUGAGUUACAAGGGAAAACAGAAACAAAAGGGGAUUCAUCAUGGAAAACUGCUGCUUGGGAGCCACCCACGUGCAACACCUGAAAUAACUGCUUAGGGUCCGGAGGGAUGGGAUUCAGCUGGGUUUGGUUCAGUAUCAGGGUUACAGCUCUAUUAGGAAUGGCAUUGGGUUGAAUUGUGUAAUAUAAACAAACUAAUUCCCCACAUGGUUUCAUACAGCAUCUUCCUCUUUUUCUAUCUCUACCCUAGAACAGUUAUGUUUAAAUCUUUAUGAAUUCACAUUGCUAAUCCUUUGCACUGCAAGAGCAACAUCAUCCUUUCCAGGCAGGAUGGCUUUUUUCCAUCCCACCCCUUACACACAGUAAACCUGAGUGCUGCUCACCUGGAAGCCUUCAUGGCUCCCUGCAGCUUCUUCUGACUUUUCCCAGGUGUUGGUGAUAAGAGCAGUGGGAGGGAGCCGGGGUACAUGAAACACAGCCCCUGCUGAGGGAGCUCACUCAGCUCCUGGACUGCUCUGGAAUCAGAGCUCUGCUGGUCACUCUGUUGAGAGCCCAAGUGAGGUGAAGCACUUUAACCAGAUGCAUUUUGAUGUUUAGCAAAGCAGGGGUGGCUGUCUGAGGUCAGAGCUUCAGGACUGCUCACUGUUAAGUACAGUAUCUAGAAGAAAGCAGACUUGAAUACAUAUUUUUUAAGUUCAGCAAUUUUGUAUCGAGGGGUGACAAGAGAGGUUAAUGGUAGAUAUUUUUCUUCUGCACUGUCAGUCUCUGUGUGUGUGCAUUUGGCUGGGAGCUGCUCUGCCCAGGGCUGUGGAGUCAGGGGCAGGUGGAUUUGCACUCAGUGUAUUUUGCUGUGCCUGGAGUGUCUGUGCAGCAGUUCUGGAGUCCUGUAAGAUCACGUAGCUUGCAUCAGCCUGUGUGGGCAGUUUUUUUGGUAGCUUUCCAUGGACAACCAUUGAUUAGAACCCUUUGAGGUGGGGCUGUUCAGCAGUGGUGAAGCAGAUGGAACAUCAAACUUCUGUGUAAGGACUAAUGUUGGGGGGGGGGGUUCUUUAAUGGCAGGCUGGAUUUGGGCUCUAAAUCUCAUUACUAAAUGGGAAAUAGAGCUCUGGAAUUUUUUGUCUGUGGCUCUGCAUUGCUGCUGCCUUUUAGUUCCCUGUUUUAAUUAGUUCUUGCUUCCCUUAGUACUGCCUCUUUGAAAAUUCCCUUUCUACACCUCUUACUUUGUUGGCAUUAUUUCCUAUUUUUUUCCUCUCUUUUUCCUUAAUCAGUUCACCAGGUUCUAAAUAGUCUUUCUAUGCCUAAUUGUAUUCUUUGUUUUGUUAAAAAGGAGCUUUUUUUUCCUUUCGUUUGUGCCACUCUGUUUACAUUUUUGCCUGCUUUUUACUCGGUUGCCUGGUUUCAGAAUCUUGCCCUUUCAUUUCCCUAAAAGCCUGUUGCUUCUGAAAUGUUCUUUUGAUACCUUCUUUUUCCACUUCCAUGUUUUUAUAUGUAUCAAUUUCCUUUUCAUCCUUAGUGCCUCCCGUUCUUCUUGUUUAUUCUCAGGUCUCAUUUUCAGGGGACUGUCACUGUUUCUAAAUAAUCUCCUUAAACAGUGUUGCUUUUGAAGUUCCCUGUGUUUAUCUCAUUGGUCAUCUUAAUUGAGCACACUCACUUUUUACAUGUUCUGUGUCCCUAUUUACAUCACUAAGCCCCCUCAGUUUUUAGACCUUUUCUGCACCUGCCUUUUUUCCCUUUGCUGCCUUUUUGACAUGUUUCCCGCUCUCGAUUCCUGGCUUCUCAGGCGUCUCCCUGGCCCUGCUCCCGGUGCCCUGGGGGGGCGGCUGACAGGCGGCAGCGCCGGCCCCCGCGCAGGGUUUGGGUGACACAGAAGCGCGUUCAGAAGCUGCCGCUUUCCUCUUUGGCCCCGCUGCCAGCCCGGUGCGGUGCAACCUCCUGCAAAAGGAGCGCUCGGGGCUCCCGGGAGCGCCAGGCUGAGAGCAGCCCGUGCUGUCCGCUGCCAAAGCACGAACGGCCGCAGUCACCGUCUGGUGGAAGAGCCCUAAAGAGGUGGGCAGUGAAUGGGACGUCCCGUUGUAAUGGAGAAGGUCAUAUUCGUUAAUCAAAUCAUGAAAGCGUUGUUUUGCUUAUUUGCCGCUUGCUUAAUAAAUCUGAUCGAUGAGUCUCUUAAA
Molecule: long non-coding RNA, 3270 nt
Organism: Colius striatus (speckled mousebird)
Lineage: Eukaryota; Metazoa; Chordata; Aves; Coliiformes; Coliidae
Exons: 5
Source: RefSeq, a predicted model, not a curated record